RNAcentral lists this small nuclear RNA (26 nucleotides) under Arabidopsis thaliana (thale cress). RNAcentral describes it as "snRNA_03188". Lineage: Eukaryota; Viridiplantae; Streptophyta; Magnoliopsida; Brassicales; Brassicaceae. The record is from RNAcentral.
AAGCGUGGCUGUCCAAGCCUCCACCA